GACGAACGCUGGCGGCGUGCUUAACACAUGCAAGUCGAACGGAAAGGCCCUGCUUUUGUGGGGUGCUCGAGUGGCGAACGGGUGAGUAACACGUGAGUAACCUGCCCUUGACUUUGGGAUAACUUCAGGAAACUGGGGCUAAUACCGGAUAGGAGCUCCUGCUGCAUGGUGGGGGUUGGAAAGUUUCGGCGGUUGGGGAUGGACUCGCGGCUUAUCAGCUUGUUGGUGGGGUAGUGGCUUACCAAGGCUUUGACGGGUAGCCGGCCUGGGAGGGUGACCGGCCACAUGGGGACUGAGAUACGGCCCAGACUCCUACGGGAGGCAGCAGGGGGGAAUAUGGCACAAUGGGCGGAAGCCUGAUGCAGAAACGGCGCGUGCGGGAUGACGGCCUUCGGGUUGUAAACCGCUUUCGCCUGUGACGAAGCGUGAGUGACGGUAAUGGGUAAAGAAGCACCGGCUAACUACGUG
This 468-nucleotide ribosomal RNA is filed under the name uncultured bacterium. RNAcentral's name for it is "partial 16S ribosomal RNA". It matches the Rfam family "Bacterial small subunit ribosomal RNA", at positions 28 to 507 of the family's 1533-position model. The record is from RNAcentral.